Molecule: RNase P RNA, 287 nt
Filed under: Zootermopsis nevadensis
Lineage: Eukaryota; Metazoa; Arthropoda; Insecta; Blattodea; Termopsidae
Description: nuclear RNase P
Rfam family: Nuclear RNase P
About the family: Ribonuclease P (RNase P) is a ubiquitous endoribonuclease, found in archaea, bacteria and eukarya as well as chloroplasts and mitochondria.
Source: Rfam by way of RNAcentral
GCCAGAGACAAGCUUGCACUAGGGGCUCACCCACAGGGUACUAGUUACCCAAGUACAGCCUCGGGAAGGUCUGAGUCAGGGUCUGUUAACACUCUAGCAGGGUGGCCUGUUAAAAGGGUGUGAGAGAAUAGAAAUAGCGGAAGUAGAGUGGCAGUUGUCUGGGAUGCCAUUGUGGCUGAGGCUGAGCUGCUCAACUUUCUUGGAAGCUCUCAUGACCUGCAUUUUGAGUGCAAUGUGCAAGAAGGACCAUGUGUCCCUAACUCAAUUCAGACUACUCUGUUGCUGGC